AAUUUGUCCCCUAAGUUUUACAACUAUAGCAGUUUUGGCCCCCCAAAGUCAAUUUUUGGUAAAAAAAUAACACGUGGCACCUCAUUUAGGGUGCCACGUCAGCGUAGACCGAGUCAAAAUUGAACUUAGGGGCCAAAACGCCACAGAUGCAAAACUUAGAGGGCGAUUU
This 169-nucleotide microRNA precursor is filed under the name Medicago truncatula (barrel medic). Its description in RNAcentral is "MIR2619 microRNA precursor family". It matches the Rfam family "MIR2619 microRNA precursor family". Lineage: Eukaryota; Viridiplantae; Streptophyta; Magnoliopsida; Fabales; Fabaceae. The record is from Rfam by way of RNAcentral.